GCUGAGGGGGGAGGAGGAGUCACGAGGAGGGCGGCCCGGCCGCGCCUCCCGCCCGGACUCCGGCCGUCUGCCCUCCGCCCCGGCCCACUAGCGCCGCUGGCCGCACCGUUCCCCUGCCUUCUUCCGGGCUCCCAGAGCACAGCUAUGGAGAUGCCCUUCCGGAAUUUGGGGGAAGAACUGAUUGUCCUCAUCCUACAACUGUACUUGCCCAACCAAUAUUUAUUGAUGCCUGCAGUGCCCUGGGUGCCUACCAAGGGGCACAGAACUGGAUCAGACUCGGAUCCUGCCUGCCCUCAGGUUGCUUGAAGAUGAACAGAGAGAUCGGACCUCUGUAUGAAGCCAGACUGCUCAUCAUUCCAGACAUCUUCAGCUGCUACACCCAGAACAAGCAUUCGAAAGAUGAACAGGAUGAUGGCUCUUUUUAUUAGUUGGCUUAUAAUAGGGGCAGGUCAGUUUGCUGGAGAUAGAAAAACGUUGAAAAACACAGCAAACAAGAC
Molecule: long non-coding RNA, 497 nt
Organism: Cebus imitator (Panamanian white-faced capuchin)
Lineage: Eukaryota; Metazoa; Chordata; Mammalia; Primates; Cebidae
Exons: 3
Source: RefSeq, a predicted model, not a curated record